This 274-nucleotide ribosomal RNA is filed under the name uncultured bacterium. Its description in RNAcentral is "partial 16S ribosomal RNA". It matches the Rfam family "Bacterial small subunit ribosomal RNA", at positions 523 to 796 of the family's 1533-position model. The record is from RNAcentral.
AUACGGAGGGGGCUAGCGUUGCUCGGAAUUACUGGGCGUAAAGGGCGCGUAGGCGGAUCAUAUAGUCAGGCGUGAAAGCCCCGGGCUCAACCUGGGAACUGCGCUUGAUACUGAUGGUCUAGAGUCCGGGAGAGGGUGGCGGAAUUCCCAGUGUAGAGGUGAAAUUCGUAGAUAUUGGGAAGAACACCGGUGGCGAAGGCGGCCACCUGGACCGGUACUGACGCUGAGGCGCGAAAGCGUGGGGAGCAAACAGGAUUAGAAACCCCAGUAGUCC